This 351-nucleotide ribosomal RNA is filed under the name Triticum aestivum (bread wheat). RNAcentral describes it as "partial small subunit ribosomal RNA". Lineage: Eukaryota; Viridiplantae; Streptophyta; Magnoliopsida; Poales; Poaceae. The record is from RNAcentral.
AUGAAAAGAGGCGUACCUGCUUCACCAACUCCCACAAAGGGGGAGGCAUCAAGCUCAAAAAAUAUAAAGAAGGAAGAAUCUCCAAAAUAUAAGACAUAUCAAGAAUGCCUUCUAAAGGGGCUUGACGCUUUAGACAGUGAAUACAUAGAUCAAGAAAUAGAUAAAAGGUUUGAAGAAUUUUCGAAGAUAAUAAAGAAAGAAUUAAAGGAGGAAAUAUUAAAAGAAUUAAGGCAAGAAAUGGAUGAAAAAUUUGAAGAAAUAAAGAAAGAAUGUGAUGAAAAAUAUGAUUUCAAUCUCUUAAAUGAUGAUGAUCAUAUGGACAUAGCAGGGCAUGGGCAGCGGCCUGAAUAA